RNAcentral lists this ribosomal RNA (254 nucleotides) under uncultured bacterium. RNAcentral describes it as "partial 16S ribosomal RNA". It matches the Rfam family "Bacterial small subunit ribosomal RNA", at positions 524 to 776 of the family's 1533-position model. The record is from RNAcentral.
UACGUAGGGUGCAGGCGUUAAUCGGAAUUACUGGGCGUAAAGCGUGCGCAGGCGGUUUCUUAAGUCAGAUGUGAAAGCCCCCGGGCUUAACCUGGGAACUGCAUUUGUGACUGGCGGGCUAGAGUACGGCAGAGGGGGGUAGAAUUCCACGUGUAGCAGUGAAAUGCGUAGAGAUGUGGAGGAACACCGAUGGCGAAGGCAGCCCCCUGGGCUAACACUGACGCUCAUGCACGAAAGCGUGGGGAGCAAACAGG